UGAUGCUCUGAGAUUUAAGGAAUUGUGU
RNAcentral lists this non-coding RNA (28 nucleotides) under Cricetulus griseus (Chinese hamster). The record is from RNAcentral. Lineage: Eukaryota; Metazoa; Chordata; Mammalia; Rodentia; Cricetidae.